CGCAUAUUGCGCCCCUUGGUAUUCCGGGGGGCAUGCCUGUUCGAGCGUCAUUAUCACCCCUCAAGCCCGGCUUGUUGUUGGACGUCGGCGGUCGCCUUUGCGCCCCGCCCGUCUCAAAGAUAAUGACGGCGUCUGUGAGGACUCCUGUACACUGAGCUUUCGGGCACGUACUAGGUCAGCUCUCCAGACCCGGUCUUUAACGUCGUUUCGGCGACGAACUUUUCUAAGGUUGACCUCGGAUCAGGUAGGAAUACCCGCUGAACUUAA
RNAcentral lists this unclassified non-coding RNA (267 nucleotides) under Chaetothyriales sp. RNAcentral's name for it is "partial contains 5.8S ribosomal RNA, internal transcribed spacer 2, and large subunit ribosomal RNA". The record is from RNAcentral. Lineage: Eukaryota; Fungi; Ascomycota; Eurotiomycetes; Chaetothyriales.